Molecule: ribosomal RNA, 318 nt
Filed under: uncultured Pseudomonadota bacterium
Lineage: Bacteria; Pseudomonadati; Pseudomonadota
Description: bacterial SSU rRNA
Rfam family: Bacterial small subunit ribosomal RNA
Source: RNAcentral
AUUGAACGCUGGCGGUAUGCUUAACACAUGCAAGUCGAACGGUAACAGGCCUUCGGGCGCUGACGAGUGGCGGACGGGUGCGUAACGCGUAGGAAUCUGCCUAUUAGUGGGGGACAACGUGGGGAAACUCACGCUAAUACCGCAUACGCCCUACGGGGGAAAGGAGGGAUCUUCGGACCUUUCGCUAAUAGAUGAGCCUGCGUUGGAUUAGCUAGUUGGUAGGGUAAAGGCCUACCAAGGCGACGAUCCAUAGCUGGUCUGAGAGGACGAUCAGCCACACUGGGACUGAGACACGGCCCAGACUCCUACGGGAGGCAG